UGCAGAGUUCUCGGAGUCACGAGCAUAUCAAUAAGCGGAGGAAAAGAAACCAACAGGGAUUGCCCCAGUAGCGGCGAGUGAAGCGGCAAAAGCUCAGAUUUGGAAUCGCUUCGGCGAGUUGUGAAUUGCAGGUUGGCGCCUCUGCGGCGGCGGCGGUCCAAGUCCCUUGGAACAGGGCGCCAUUGAGGGUGAGAGCCCCGUGGGACCGUUUGCCUACGCUCUGAGGCCCUUCUGACGAGUCGAGUUGUUUGGGAAUGCAGCUCUAAGCGGGUGGUAAAUUCCAUCUAAGGCUAAAUACUGGCGAGAGACCGAUAGCGAACAAGUACUGUGAAGGAAAGAUGAAAAGCACUUUGAAAAGAGAGUGAAACAGCACGUGAAAUUGUUGAAAGGGAAGGGUAUUGCGCCCGACAUGGAGCGUGCGCACCGCUGCCCCUCGUGGGCGGCGCUCUGGGCGUGCUCUGGGCCAGCAUCGGUUUUUGCCGCGGGAAAAGGGCGGCGGGCAUGUAGCUCUUCGGAGUGUUAUAGCCUGCCGCCGGCGCCGCGAGCGGGGACCGAGGACUGCGACUUUUGUCUCGGAUGCUGGCACAACGGCGCAACACCGCCCGUC
Molecule: ribosomal RNA, 607 nt
Filed under: Pichia fermentans
Lineage: Eukaryota; Fungi; Ascomycota; Pichiomycetes; Pichiales; Pichiaceae
Description: eukaryotic LSU rRNA
Rfam family: Eukaryotic large subunit ribosomal RNA
Source: RNAcentral